UAACAGGAUUCCCCUAGUAACUGCGAGUGAAGCGGGAAAAGCUCAAAUUUAAAAUCUGGCAGUCUCUGGCUGUCCGAGUUGUAAUCUAGAGAAGUAAUGCCCGUGCUGGACCGUGUAUAAGUCUCCUGGGAUGGGGCGUCAUAGAGGGUGAGAAUCCCGUCUUUGACACGGACUGCCAGUGCAUUGUGGUAUGCUCUCAAAGAGUCGAGUUGUUUGGGAAUGCAGCUCAAAAUGGGUGGUAAAUUCCAUCUAAAGCUAAAUAUUGGCGAGAGACCGAUAGCGAACAAGUACCGUGAGGGAAAGAUGAAAAGAACUUUGGAAAGAGAGUUAAACAGUACGUGAAAUUGCUGAAAGGGAAACGCUUGAAGUCAGUCGCGUUGGCCGGGGAUCAGCCUUGCUUUUGCAUGGUGUACUUUCUGGUUGACGGGUCAGCAUCAAUUUUGACCACUGGAAAAGGUUCAAGGGAAUGUGGCAGCUUCGGCUGUGUUAUAGCCCCUGUUCACAUACAGUGAUUGGGAUUGAGGAACUCAGCACGCCGCANGGCCGGGUUUCGACCACGCUCGUGCUUAGGAUGCUGGCAUAAUGGCUUUAAGCGACCCGUCUUGAAACACGGACCAAGGAGUCUAACAUGCCUGCGAGUAUUUGGGUGGAAAACCCAAGUGCGCAAUGAAGUGAAAGUUGA
RNAcentral lists this ribosomal RNA (682 nucleotides) under Agaricus campestris var. radicatus. RNAcentral's name for it is "LSU rRNA". It matches the Rfam family "Eukaryotic large subunit ribosomal RNA", at positions 66 to 735 of the family's 3401-position model. The record is from RNAcentral. Lineage: Eukaryota; Fungi; Basidiomycota; Agaricomycetes; Agaricales; Agaricaceae.